Regulatory RNA element from Clostridium disporicum, 103 nucleotides. It matches the Rfam family "TPP riboswitch aptamer (THI element)". From Rfam's summary of the family: Vitamin B(1) in its active form thiamin pyrophosphate (TPP) is an essential coenzyme that is synthesised by coupling of pyrimidine and thiazole moieties in bacteria. The previously detected thiamin-regulatory element, thi box was extended, resulting in a new, highly conserved RNA secondary structure, the THI element, which is widely distributed in eubacteria and also occurs in some archaea. The record is from Rfam. Lineage: Bacteria; Bacillati; Bacillota; Clostridia; Eubacteriales; Clostridiaceae.
AUAAGGUGCUAGGGGUGCCAAUUGGCUGAGAGAUGAUUUUAUCAUUAACCCUUCUUUACCUGAUCUGGGUAAUACCAGCGUAGGGAAGCUAUAUACGGAUUUU